This 253-nucleotide ribosomal RNA is filed under the name uncultured bacterium. RNAcentral describes it as "partial 16S ribosomal RNA". It matches the Rfam family "Bacterial small subunit ribosomal RNA", at positions 524 to 776 of the family's 1533-position model. The record is from RNAcentral.
UACGUAGGGGGCAAGCGUUGUCCGGAAUCAUUGGGCGUAAAGAGCGUGUAGGCGGCUCGGUAAGUCCGCUCUGAAAGCCCGGGGCUCAACCCCGGGAGGCGGGCGGAUACUGUCGGGCUAGAGUCCGGAAGAGGCGAGUGGAAUUCCUGGUGUAGCGGUGAAAUGCGCAGAUAUCUGGAGGAACACCAGUGGCGAAGGCGAUCAUCUGGGGCUGUUCUGACGCUGAGGAGCGAAAGCUAGGGGAGCAAACGGG